RNAcentral lists this unclassified non-coding RNA (245 nucleotides) under Glomeraceae sp. RNAcentral's name for it is "partial contains 5.8S ribosomal RNA and internal transcribed spacer 2". The stretch from base 1 to 71 matches the Rfam family "5.8S ribosomal RNA", at positions 84 to 154 of the family's 154-position model. Lineage: Eukaryota; Fungi; Glomeromycota; Glomeromycetes; Glomerales; Glomeraceae. The record is from RNAcentral.
GUGAAUCAUCAAAUUUUUGAACGCAAAUUGCGCUUCCUGGCAUCCCGGGAAGUAUGCCUGUUUGAGGGUCAGUAUUAAUAAAAAUUCGGUUUAGUAACAAAUUGUGACGUUUCCGGGGUUUGGGUUAUUUUAACAUUUUUGGUUAAGAGUCUUAAAAUUGACCUUUUUUGCGAUUUUUUAAACGAACAUAAAUUUUUUUUAUUUGUCUUUGCUUAAUGCUAAAAUCUAAUUAGAUGCGAUAACAU